AGCAGCCGCGGUAAUUCCAGCUCCAAUAGCGUAUAUUAAAGUUGUUGCAGUUAAAAAGCUCGUAGUUGAAUUUCGGGAUUGACGUGAUGGUCGUGCCUUACGGGGUAUGAACUGUUGCUGUUGAUUUCUCACCUUCUGGAGAAACUUGAUGUCCUUAAUUGGGUGUCUUGCGGAUCCAGGACCUUUACCUUGAAAAAAUUGAGUGUUUAAAGCAGGCAUUUUGCUCGAAUACAUUAGCAUGGAAUAAUAGAAUAGGACGGCAUGGUUCUAUUUUGUUGGUUUCUAGGAUCACCGUAAUGAUUAAUAGGGAUAGUUGGGGGCAUUAGUAUCCAAUUGUCAGAGGUGAAAUUCUUGGAUUUAUUGAAGACUAACUACUGCGAAAGCAUUUGCCAAGGAUGUUUCAUUAAUCAAGAACGAAAGUUAGGGAUCGAAGACGAUCAGAUACCGUCG
Molecule: ribosomal RNA, 450 nt
Filed under: uncultured Glomeromycotina
Lineage: Eukaryota; Fungi; Glomeromycota
Description: SSU rRNA
Rfam family: Eukaryotic small subunit ribosomal RNA
Source: RNAcentral